RNAcentral lists this unclassified non-coding RNA (395 nucleotides) under uncultured Bordetella sp. Its description in RNAcentral is "partial 16S-23S ribosomal RNA intergenic spacer". It matches the Rfam family "Bacterial small subunit ribosomal RNA", at positions 10 to 434 of the family's 1533-position model. The record is from RNAcentral. Lineage: Bacteria; Pseudomonadati; Pseudomonadota; Betaproteobacteria; Burkholderiales; Alcaligenaceae.
AGUUCGAUUAUGGCUCAGAUUGAACGCUGGCGGGAUGCUUUACAUGCAAGUCGGAGCAGCAGCACGGACUUCGGUCUGGUGGCGAGUGGCGAACAGGUGAGUAAUGUAUCGGAACGUGCCUAGUAGCGGGGGAUAACUACGCGAAAGCGUAGCUAAUACCGCAUACGCCCUUCGGGGGAAAGCGGGGACCUUCGGGCCUCGCACUGAAGCGGCCGAUAUCGGAUUAGCUAGUUGGUGGGGUAACGGCUCACCAAGGCGACGAUCCGUAGCUGGUUUGAGAGGACGACCAGCCACACUGGGACUGAGACGGCCCAGACCGAAGUCCGUGCUGCCGUUCGACUUGCAUGUGUAAGGUACAUCCCGCUAGCGUUCAAUCUGAGCCAGAAUCAAACUCU